UCCGAUGUAGUCUAACGGCUAGGACGGUGUGCUUUCACCACGCAAGUCGGGGUUCGAUUCCCCGCAUCGGAG
Non-coding RNA from Stachybotrys elegans, 72 nucleotides. NCBI's taxonomy places the organism in Eukaryota, Fungi, Ascomycota, Sordariomycetes, Hypocreales, Stachybotryaceae. The record is from the annotation of a GenBank genome assembly.